GGUCCCAUAGUCUAGCGGCCUAGGACGACGCUCUCUCAAGGCGUAAACACGGGUUCAAAUCCCGUUGGGACCG
RNAcentral lists this transfer RNA (73 nucleotides) under Candidatus Acetothermia bacterium. RNAcentral's name for it is "tRNA-Glu". It matches the Rfam family "tRNA". From Rfam's summary of the family: Transfer RNA (tRNA) molecules are approximately 80 nucleotides in length. The record is from RNAcentral. Lineage: Bacteria; Candidatus Bipolaricaulota.